Molecule: ribosomal RNA, 905 nt
Filed under: Rhytidhysteron rufulum
Lineage: Eukaryota; Fungi; Ascomycota; Dothideomycetes; Hysteriales; Hysteriaceae
Description: SSU rRNA
Rfam family: Eukaryotic small subunit ribosomal RNA
Source: RNAcentral
UGGAUAACCGUGGUAAUUCUAGAGCUAAUACAUGCUAAAAACCCCGACUUCGGGAGGGGUGUAUUUAUUAGAUAAAAAACCAAUGCCCUUCGGGGCUCCUUGGUGAAUCAUAAUAACUUAACGGAUCGCAUGGCCUUGCGCCGGCGACGGUUCAUUCAAAUUUCUGCCCUAUCAACUUUCGAUUGUAGGGUAUUGGCCUACAAUGGUAUCAACGGGUAACGGGGAAUUAGGGUUCGAUUCCGGAGAGGGAGCCUGAGAAACGGCUACCACAUCCAAGGAAGGCAGCAGGCGCGCAAAUUACCCAAUCCCGACACGGGGAGGUAGUGACAAUAAAUACUGAUACAGGGCUCUUUUGGGUCUUGUAAUUGGAAUGAGUACAAUUUAAAUCCCUUAACGAGGAACAAUUGGAGGGCAAGUCUGGUGCCAGCAGCCGCGGUAAUUCCAGCUCCAAUAGCGUAUAUUAAAGUUGUUGCAGUUAAAAAGCUCGUAGUUGAACCUUGGGUCUGGCUGGCCGGUCCGCCUCACCGCGUGCACUGGUCCGGCCGGACCUUUCCUUCUGGAGAACCGCAUGCCCUUCACUGGGUGUGCCGGGGAACCAGGACUUUUACUUUGAAAAAAUUAGAGUGUUCAAAGCAGGCCUUUGCUCGAAUACAUUAGCAUGGAAUAAUAGAAUAGGACGUGCGGUCCUAUUUUGUUGGUUUCUAGGACCGCCGUAAUGAUUAAUAGGGAUAGUCGGGGGCAUCAGUAUUCAAUUGUCAGAGGUGAAAUUCUUAGAUUUAUUGAAGACUAACUACUGCGAAAGCAUUUGCCAAGGAUGUUUUCAUUAAUCAGUGAACGAAAGUUAGGGGAUCGAAGACGAUCAGAUACCGUCGUAGUCUUAACCGUAAACUAUGCCGACUAGGGAU